Molecule: ribosomal RNA, 450 nt
Filed under: uncultured bacterium
Lineage: Bacteria
Description: bacterial SSU rRNA
Rfam family: Bacterial small subunit ribosomal RNA
Source: RNAcentral
GUGGGGAAUAUUGGACAAUGGGCGAAAGCCUGAUCCAGCCAUGCCGCGUGUGUGAAGAAGGUCUUCGGAUUGUAAAGCACUUUAAGUUGGGAGGAAGGGCAGUAAGUUAAUACCUUGCUGUUUUGACGUUACCGACAGAAUAAGCACCGGCUAACUUCGUGCCAGCAGCCGCGGUAAUACGAAGGGUGCAAGCGUUAAUCGGAAUUACUGGGCGUAAAGCGCGCGUAGGUGGUUUUGUAAGUUGGAGGUGAAAUCCCCGGGCUCAACCUGGGAACUGCCUCCAAAACUGCAUGACUAGAGUACGGUAGAGGGUAGUGGAAUUUCCUGUGUAGCGGUGAAAUGCGUAGAUAUAGGAAGGAACACCAGUGGCGAAGGCGACUACCCGGACUGAUACUGACACUGAGGUGCGAAAGCGUGGGGAGCAAACAGGAUUAGAUACCCCGGUAGUCC